RNAcentral lists this long non-coding RNA (923 nucleotides) under Equus asinus (donkey). RNAcentral's name for it is "lncRNA (ENSEASG00005026803.1)". The record is from RNAcentral. Lineage: Eukaryota; Metazoa; Chordata; Mammalia; Perissodactyla; Equidae.
AUCCGAAGUUGCUGCACUUUCCCUUAAGGUUUUCCUUUAGCAUGCUCAUUCCUCUUAAAUGGCUCCUUUUCUGAAAAAUGCUUAUUAAUUAAUCACUCAGGCUGUUUCAUCUGUUUGCUGGAGGGAGUCUGACUGCUAUACCCUCUCAUCCAUCAGGUCUUAUCUUAAAUAUAACUUGCUCGCUGAGUCCUUUUCCAAGCAGUCUGUUGGCACCAUUUUUUUUUUUCUAUUGUAGUGUUUCACUAAUUUUUGUCACAACACUCAUUCAAGAUGAAUCCAAGCCUGUUCUUGGACCAGCCAAAAUUAUGGGCACCAAAUAACUACAGGAUUACUAAAAUCACUGUUACUGUCCCAGAUGCUCCUUCAGAGCCGCAAGAAUAGGCAUUAAUUCUGCUGAAAUUUAAGCCAGUAUGCAUGUCUGAUACCAGGAAAAAUCAUGUUGAACAUACUGGGAAUUAGAUGUGUGUGGAAAUCCAAUAACUUCCUAUUUUUGCACAAGUCUUCUUAUAAACUUUAAAAAACAAGUUUACAUCUAUUGAAUCAUUUGAGCAUAAAGACCUAAUGAGAGGAGAAAAUGGAAUCCUGGGACAGUUAAGACACUUGCCCAAAGUGGCACAGCUGGUACAGGGUGUGGCUGGGGUUCUAACCCAGGAAGUCUGGCUCCAACACUUAGCCCUUCAGCACUUCAAUAACAAAGCAGUUCAGAUGGAGAAGACUUGAAGUGACAUCCUUGGUCAGAGAUUGAAAUUCUGAAGUCCUGCAUUUAAAUCCCCAGAGAUGCUUAUCCUACUGGACAAGGAAAUAAAAGACAACCCAUUGCCAUCCUCUCAAACAGCAAAAGAUGGAAUCCCCCUGCUUGCACUUCAAGGAGACCUUCUCUGUUCUUUUUGUAUUUGCUUAUAUAUGGUGACUUAACAUGCAAA